This 301-nucleotide ribosomal RNA is filed under the name uncultured bacterium. Its description in RNAcentral is "partial 16S ribosomal RNA". It matches the Rfam family "Bacterial small subunit ribosomal RNA", at positions 509 to 807 of the family's 1533-position model. The record is from RNAcentral.
CAGUAGCCGCGGUAAUACAGAGGGUGCGAGCGUUAAUCGGAUUUACUGGGCGUAAAGAGUGCGUAGGCGGCUUCUUAAGUCGGAUGUGAAAUCCCUGAGCUUAACUUAGGAAUUGCAUUCGAUACUGGGAAGCUAGAGUAUGGGAGAGGAUGGUAGAAUUCCAGGUGUAGCGGUGAAAUGCGUAGAGAUCUGGAGGAAUACCGAUGGCGAAGGCAGCCAUCUGGCCUAAUACUGACGCUGAGGUACGAAAGCAUGGGGAGCAAACAGGAUUAGAUACCCGCGUAGUCCCUGUCUCUUAUAC